Rattus norvegicus (Norway rat) is the source of this 2354-nucleotide non-coding RNA. The record is from RefSeq and is a predicted model, not a curated record. Lineage: Eukaryota; Metazoa; Chordata; Mammalia; Rodentia; Muridae.
CAGGGCUUCUAUUCGCUGUUGUAGAAACAAUCUGAAACUGUAGGCUGUGUUCAAGCAAGCUGAGGCAGCUUACUCCUAGUGGCUAUCAUGGCAGUGGUAUAACCAUUUUGGAUUUUCUUCCUGGCAUCUGUAACCAAUAGCUGCAAGCCAAGGAUCCAAUCGACUCUUCUUGGAGAAUCUCGGGCUUUGGAGCAAGGAAAGAGUCAAGUUCACUGAAUCGGGUGCUGCAUUCACUCACACAAUGUAAAAGCCGAAGAACAGCCCUGAAUCACAGCGGGAUGUGGAGCUCCUGAUGACCUCAGAGUUUGUAUUACUCUGUUCUCAUUUCAUUUCGCCCUCCUUCCCAAGCAUCCUUUCCUGACGGGAGCCUCGAGCCAGAUGGUACCCAAGAAGCUCCUGACUUAGACUUGCCACUUAAGGCCAAAAGGGUGCCAGACACUGGGGUGGCCACCAAGGACAGAACUGUGGAGCUAAGAAAUCUAGUCAGAUGUUAUCAUCAUGAAGGCUGCUCACUUCAACAAAACAUGCUGAAACAAUUGUCACUUGGUUCGAAGGGUAGAGAAGAAACCAAGAAAAUAACGGGAAGCUCUGAGGAGGACAAGGCUUCACAGAGGUGACUCAGGGUCCCCAGGGACAAAUAGAAGUUGGCUAGCCUCAUAGAAUCACAACAGAAACCCUGGUCUUGUACCAAGGGCCCCAUAGCAAUCCAGUGUCUAAAACUUACCACAGCUCUGUGAGGUAAUAUUUGUCUUCAGAUACUGGAGCUAGAGUGCAGAGACAGAGCACUCUGGCCCAAGGAAACUGUGUGGGGGAAAAAAAGACACACCACUGAGUAUAGAAGGCAUUCACUAGGGAGGGAGGAGAGGGAGGUGUCAGGGAUGGGUGAGGAGUGGAAGAAACAAGAGGCACUUAACUAGCAACAUUCUGUGGAACCUAGAGAGAUGGCUCAGUCUUCCAGAGGACCUGAGUGCAGUUCCUAGCACCCUUCUCCCAUAACCGCAGCUCCAAAGGGUGCCUUGUGACCUCCUGCACCUGUAUGCAUGUAACAUCCCCGACACACAUAUUAAACAUUGAAAAUAAUUUUUUAAAGUAAAACAAAGCAUACUGUAUCCCUCAGGGAAAAUAGAGUCCCUUCCAACUUCCCACUCCCCACUGUGUCAUCUCCCCACUCUGCAGGUCCUGGGGUCACCCACAAGACUCACCAGUAGGACCUCCUAUUCUCCCCGCCCCAUAGGUAGACAACUUGCCAAACUAAGGGUUGUCGCUUCCCUGCAGGAAGGAGGAGAUGACUUCCAAGUCCCCUUCCCUUCACCUCAGAAAACCCGAGGACAGAAAGAGACCCUACAGCUGGACCUCCUCCUUCGGGGUGGGGAUGGGGGAGACAGAACUCUGCUCUGACAUCUGUGGCCAUGGAGGGGGAAGUCCUUGUCUGCCUGGCUUCUGCUUUCUUAAAUAAUGACUAUUUGUGUCUUUUUCCCCUCAACAGUCCUCCUUACACACACACACACACACACACACACACACACACACACACAGAGAGAGAGAGAGAGAGAGAAAGAGAGAGAGAGAGAGAGAGAGAGGGAGGGAGGGAGGGAGGGAGAGAGAGAGAGAGAGAGAGAGAGAGAGAGAGAGCAGCUAGUGUCCACUCCAAACAUAGAUGACAAGAGGUCUCAGCAAAGCAGCCUAAAGAGACACUGAACAAACUGUUUCCUGGACAGGCUUGUCAUCGUGACCCUUGUAAGCCAAGAGCUCACUGUAUAACUUGGGAAUGUACAAAUAUUUACAGUUGUAGGGAAGGGAGCCAACAUCUGCUAGAGGGUCCCAGCAUGGGAAAGGAGCUGAGGUCUACCUAGCCAGUCGUCCUCACCAUUCCAAUGCCCUCACAGGAUCCCCUUCCCUGUCACCAGUCACCCUGUCUCUCUGCCCCUAGCUUUGAGUCUCUGCAGCCUCAGAGCAGUGGAUGUUCUUUCUCACAACAACCUUGGAAAGCCUCUGCCUCUGCUGUUCUUGGGCCCCUUGCCUCUGCAGGCGUCUUCCCUUGAUAUGCAGCCUAGCUGGUCACUGUCCAUCUCAAACAAUGACUUGCAAACCAGUUCCCAUUCUACAGCCGAGCGGCUUGUCAUGCUCCGACCCCUGUGCCCAUCAUUCCUGGUCUCUGAGACACAGCUUGCUCUCCAUGCAGAGUGAGAGGGUGGGAACAAACCUGUCCACGAUGCCUGAGCACUGUUCUAGCUCUCUGAAACCAGCAGGUUCAGAACAACCCCAGGGAGAGGACAUUCUUCUCCGAAAUUGAUUUGGGAACUUGAUCUUCUGGCCUAGAGUUGAACAGAAAUAAAAGCAGGUGGGUCUCUGGU